GUAUAUUAUGUAAUUCAAAUUUUUUAAAACAAACAUAUAUUAUUCAAUGGAUGAAGAAAUAAUAUGUGUACAAUGUCCCACAUCGCUUAGAAAAAUUGGAGAAUGGUUCAGAGUCAUAUUAUAAAAAGGGAAAAAUGUCAUUUAAAUCACGAUUUCGCAAAUUGUGGUGCUUUAAAACAUAAACUUUGUACCUUGUGAUUAAAAUUAUCAAUUAUGUGUUGACUUCAGAUAAAAAUCACUAACUUUCGUUGACAAAGCCAAAUUAGUCACAACAUCAACUGAAUAAACGGAGCAAAUUAGACGCUAUGAUUUAUCCAUUAAUGAGUCCGUUUAAGA
RNAcentral lists this small RNA (336 nucleotides) under Arabidopsis thaliana (thale cress). RNAcentral's name for it is "ATSL043040". Lineage: Eukaryota; Viridiplantae; Streptophyta; Magnoliopsida; Brassicales; Brassicaceae. The record is from RNAcentral.